CAAAUCCUUAUUAUUGUCUUGGUCAUUUCUUUCAGGUGAAGUCCUGAUUCCAAUACAUUUCCCUGCUUCUCUAAACGUCGAUUCAAAGCAAGAGCAAGCAAAAACAAGAAAUGAAAAGGGAAGAUAAUAAAAGGAAAACAAGAAAUGCGCAAACAGGAUGCAGCUCUGGGAAGAGAUGCAUCCAAAUGAAAAUUGUAUAACUACAAAAGUUCUCCUAAAGUAAACAUUCCGAAUGGCUUCCACAGUGCUUUCACUUUCAUUGAUAGCUUGUGAGAUACUUGUUGCAUGGUUGGCCGAGACCUUGGAUUGGCAUGGAGGCAAGCAAAUGCUAAUUUCACUAUGGAAACUACUUCCGCUGCUUCCUUAUUUGUGGGUGGUGGGAGGCGUUGGUCCAAUGUAUCUUUCAGGAGAAUUUCGUAGGUAGCUGAUGGUGUUGAUGUUGAUAGAGACAGGAUUAUAUCCCCUGGAUGCCUUCCCAUGAUCACUUCCAGUGAUACCACUCCAAAGCUUUACACAUCACACUUCUCAUUUGCUUCCAUGCUGUAGGCAAGUUCUGGAGCGAAAUUGCCAAAUGUGCCAGCCAAAGAUGUCCAACGGGUAGAGUCCAGCUUCAAAAUCCUUGCUGUGCCAAAGUCGGAGAUGUGAGCCACUUGCUCUGAAUCCAUCAAUAUAUUGUUGCUUGAUAUGUCACGAUGAACAAUAGGAGGUGAGCAAUCAUGGUGCAUAUAAGUUAAGGCACUGGCCACUCCUUUCACAACAUUUAUUCUUGUGAUCCAUUUUAACUCCUCGGCUUUUACCUUCUCCUGUAGUAUCUUUCCCAAGCUUCCUCCUCCAAGGAACUCGUAAACCAAAUAUAAGUACUGUGCAUGCAAACAGAAACCAUGGAACUUCACAAUAUUUCGGUGUCUUGUUUUGGUUAAUGCACAAAUUUCACUUGUAAAAGCCUUUAAAUUGGACAUUUCAAUCCCUUCAUGUUGGUGAAGCUUCUUCACAGCAACAACCAGUUGGAAGCUCUGCAUUGUAAACAGUCCCACAUCCUCCCACUCCAAUACAAUGCUUGGAGCUGAAUCUCUCUGUUGCUGCCAUUAUGCUUUCAUGCACAACUUUCCCAUCAUAGCUGCAUAUUGCAAAUAUAUUAUCCUUUCCUUCUUCUUUGGCUUCAUCUGCGAUCCCGGCUCUUUUUCCAACAAUAGCAACAACUCCAGAAAUGACAAAUACAAGGACUAAGGUGCUUGAAAGAGGAACUGCGAUCAAUAUAAUUGCCUUGUUGCCAUCUUUUCUGCGCAAUCUGCUUAUCUUUGUAGAAGGGCAAGCUUUAAAACGAGGAUUGUUGCCACAUAAACCUUUAUUAUUAAUCAAUUCCGCUACUGGUGCCCAGCUAAAGGCUUUAUUGUUGGGAAGUGGACCCUCCAAUUGAUUGAAGGAGAUAUCAACAGCAGUCAAGCUCAACAUUUCACUGAAAGUGGAUGGGAUGGAACCUGAGAGUUCAUUGUGGGAGAGAUUUAAUGUCUCUAAGUCACGCAAAUAUCCAAGCUCCUGUGGUAUCUCUCCUUCAAGCAAAUUGUAACUUAGAUCGAGCAUUUGCAAAGAAAGUAACUUGCCAACUUGAAAUGGAACACUUUUACUGAACCUGUUUUUGCUUAAGUUCAAGAACUGCAGCUUUAAGGAGUCUUUCAGUUCUGGAAUCAAUCCUCUGAGAUCAUUUACUGCAAGGCUAAGAUCAGUAAGCUCGGAUAACAUUCCAAGUUAUGAGGGAAUAUUACCUGAAAAUUUGUUAUUGUUCAAUUUAAGUUUGAACAACAACUUCAAUGCCCCUAGUUCCUUUGGAAUAUUCCCUACCAGACAAUUUUUGGAGAGGCCCAGUACCUGCAAUUGAUUUGCUUUCCCAAGCUCCGGUGGUAUCCCACCAGAAAUUCCAUUGUUGGACAAUUUCAAGAGUGUCAGAUUACGACAAUGCCCCCAAUUUUGAGAAAGCUCACCAUGCAACCUAUUGUAGCUCAGAUCAACGAAUUUCAAAUUUGGGUAUAUGCCAAAAUCUUCUGAUAUGUGUCCAUCUAGUUUAUUUCUUUCAAGCCUAACUCUGAUUAAGCUUGUGCAGUUCUUCAAACUUUUUGGUAUGGAACCCACAAAACUAUUAUUACCCAUGACGAAAACUUCAAGUACUCCACCAAGGCAUAUGUUUUGGGGUAAAUGUCCAGACAACAUAUUAUCAGCCAGUUGCAAUGAUUUUAAAGAUGUAAAAUUAUGCAUUUCUAGAGGGAUUGGGCCACUAAGAUUGUUCAUGAAUAACCUAAGGUCAGUAAGGUACUUGAGCUUUCCUAUUUCUGGAGGAAUUUGGCCGGAAAAAUGAUUGAUUGAUAGUUCCAACUCUGUAAGCUUGGUUAAGUUCCCUAUGGUGAAAGGAAUUGAUCCAGAAAGCAUGUUGUUGUGAAGGUACAGGAGAGUUAAGUUGCCCAAAUUUCCUAUAGAUGCAGGGAUGGGACCGCUGAGAUUGUUUGUUGACAGUUCAAGCUCAAUAAGAGAUUGCAACUUUCCUAAUUAAAGAG
RNAcentral lists this unclassified non-coding RNA (2546 nucleotides) under Hevea brasiliensis (rubber tree). The record is from RNAcentral. Lineage: Eukaryota; Viridiplantae; Streptophyta; Magnoliopsida; Malpighiales; Euphorbiaceae.